This 608-nucleotide ribosomal RNA is filed under the name uncultured bacterium. RNAcentral describes it as "bacterial SSU rRNA". It matches the Rfam family "Bacterial small subunit ribosomal RNA", at positions 338 to 954 of the family's 1533-position model. The record is from RNAcentral.
CCUACGGGAGGCAGCAGUGAGGAAUAUUGGACAAUGGGCGCAAGCCUGAUCCAGCCAUGCCGCGUGCAGGAAGAAGCAUCUAUGGUGUGUAAACUGCUUUUGUACAGGAAGAAACACUCCCUCGUGAGGGAGCUUGACGGUACUGUAAGAAUAAGGACCGGCUAACUCCGUGCCAGCAGCCGCGGUAAUACGGAGGGUCCGAGCGUUAUCCGGAAUCAUUGGGUUUAAAGGGUCCGUAGGCGGUUUAAUAAGUCAGUGGUGAAAUCUGGUCGCUCAACGAUCAAACGGCCAUUGAUACUGUUAGACUUGAAUUAUAAGGAAGUAACUAGAAUAUGUAGUGUAGCGGUGAAAUGCUUAGAUAUUACAUGGAAUACCAAUUGCGAAGGCAGGUUACUACUUAUGGAUUGACGCUGAUGGACGAAAGCGUGGGGAGCGAACAGGAUUAGAUACCCUGGUAGUCCACGCCGUAAACGAUGGAUACUAGCUGUUCGGAGCAAUCUGAGUGGCUAAGCGAAAGUGAUAAGUAUCCCACCUGGGGAGUACGUUCGCAGAAUGAAACUANAGAGUAGUAGGCGUGNGAGUAGCGACGAGCACACGGGUUAGGGAGG